GACCCUUCUCCGGGAAAAGAGAGAGUGCCAGCGCAACUAAGUCCCACCCAAACAGGCUACACCUAUUACCUCCCCCUGGACGUAAAACGGGGGUAGAUACAUCACACAAACUUAGUAUUGUUCGCCCAAGACUAUGGACAAGUUUCUCCAGCAAUUUCAUUGAAUAUAACACAUUUUGGAAACAAUGCGACCUGGAAGUGGAAUAGUUAUUGCUGCCUUGUUCAGCCUGGGCUGCAGCAUGACACUGACAGCGGACAAGAAAGAGGAUACAUGGCACAGACUCAGGAAAUUCCACACUUCUCUGUGAGGAGGGAGGGGAGAGGCAGGAGCACAGGAGUGGGCAGAGGAGAACUCUGGAGGAGGAGAGAGGUCAUCUGUGGACUGUAUACGAAUGGAAAGACAAUGAUCCAAAACACACUUCCAGGCUGUGUAAGGAGAGUGAUGGAGUGCUGCAUCAGAUGAACUGGCCUCCACAAUCACCCGACCUCAACCCAAUUGAGAUGGUUUGGGAUGAGUUGGACCGCAGAGUGAAGAAAAAGCAUCCAAAAAGUGCUCAACGUGUGGGAACUCCUUCAAAACUAUUGGAAAAGCAUUCCUCAUGAAGCUGGUUGAGAGAUUGCUAAGAGUGUACAAAGCUGUCAUCAAGGCAUAGGGUGGCUACUUUGAAGAACGUAAAAUAUAAAAUAUAUUUUGAUUUGUUUAACACUUUUUUUGGUUACUACAUGAUUCCAUAUGUGUUUUUCAUAGUUUUGAUGUCUUCACUAUAAUUCUACAAUGUAGAAAAUAGUAAAAAAUAAAGGAAAAAAAACUUGAAUGAGUAGGUGUGUCCAAACUUUUGACUGGUACUGUAUACACUUUUACAGUAUUUUGUGUAGAUCAAUGACCAAAAAUUACAAUUAAAUAUAUUUCAAUCCCACUUUUUAACGCACCAAAUGUUAAAACAGUUCAAGGGGGUGUAGAUAUUCUGUAGGCACUGUAUGUGAUGGGUCCCAUAGCACUUGGACAGAAGGAAACUUGCUCACUCUCGAAACUAUUCUAGUGUCUAAUUUGGCCUUUCAGAGUCAUCCAGCUGUACCCUGUAACAUAUCAUAUUUGGAAAUUGAAUAUAAACUUUAGUUCUAUAUUUCCAGCUAAGACAAAUGAACUGCAAUGCCUCAUACAGCAAACAUUGAACUUGCAAUGUCAGCUAAAUAAACUCAUACGGUGGGUGUACAGAAGAAAUAAAACGAUUGAGAUUGCAAAAUCUCUCUCACAUAGACCCCACCCAGUACAACACACACAGGAACUUCUUCCUAUGCAGUCUGGCAUGGCCUUGCAGUGGAGGCUUUCCAAGUCAAACAAUCAACUAAAACCUGUUCUUCAGAAACAAAGCAGGAGGAUCAUAGAGAGCUAAACCAGAGAGGAUAGCACGCUUUACAUCACUGGAAUCCAAGAAGUCAUAUUAGCAGUCUAAUUUAUCUUCUCAUUCCCCAUCUCUUUCACUUAAGGUUUUUAACUAAUUACUCUAAUAGUCUACUGUGAACUACAGUCAUUGAAAAAAUAGCCCUUGCACACCUACUUUGUGUAUGUUUGAAAAAGAAGAAAACAGCAUACUGGUGUUCUUGAAUACUUCACAAUUUGAUUCAAAUAUGAGCAUAUAAGAUCACCAGUGUGCUACGAGCAGCAGCAGAGUGCAGGGGACAGUUUUUGAGGAAGGGGGGAUGAGUUCAACACACUGGUGUGAUUGAAGGAGUGGGAAGGGAGGAAGAGUUCAGUGGUGUAAACUACUUAAGUACAAAUACUUUACAGUACUACUUACAGUGCCUUGCGAAAGUAUUCGGCCCCCUUGAACUUUGCGACCUGAUAGACUGAUAGAGACAUAGAGACAUAGAGACAACUGAUAGAGACAUACCCCAAGCAACUUACAGCUGUAAUCGCAGCAAAAGGUGGCGCUACAAAGUAUUAACUUAAGGGGGCUGAAUCAUUUUGCACGCCCAAUUUUUCCGUUUUUGAUUUGUUAAAAAAGUUUGAAAUAUCCAAUAAAUGUCGUUCCACUUCAUGAUUGUGUCCCACUUGUUGUUGAUUCUUCACAAAAAAAUACAGUAUUAUAUCUUUAUGUUUGAAGCCUGAAAUGUGGCAAAAGGUCGCAAAGUUCAAGGGGGCCAAAUACUUUCGCAAGGCACUGUAAGUAGUUUUUUGGGGGUGUCUGUACUUUACAUGACUAUUUAUAUUUUACUUCACUACAUUCCUAAUGAAGAUAAUGUACUUUUUACUCCAUACAUUUUCCCUGACACCCAAAAGUACUCGUUACAUUUUGAAUGCUUAACAGGACAGGAAAUGGUCCAAUUCACACACUUAUCAAGAGAACAUCCCUGUCAUCUCUACUACCUCUGGUGGACUCAUUAAACACAAAUGCUUUGGGGAAUGGAUAGUAGGGGAACGGGUACUGGAACAGUAAGGGAAUGGAUACUGGAACAGUAGGGGAGGGAUACUGGAACAUAGGGGUGAGGGAUACUAGACCAGUAGGAGGGAGGGAUAUUGGAACAGUAGGGGAGGGAUACUGGAACAGUAGGGGAAUGGAUACUGGAACAGUAGGGGAUACUGGAACAGUAGGUGGAGGGAUACUGGAACAGUAGGGGAAUGGAUACUGGAACAGUAGGGGAAUGGAUACUGGAACAGUAGGGGAAUGGAUACUGGAACAGUAGGGGAAUGGAUACUGGAACAGUAGGGGAAUGGAGUAGGGGCAUUUGGCAAAGUGGGUGGGGUUAUAUCCUUCCUGUUUGGCCCUGUCCGGGGGUGACCUCGGAUGGGGCCACAGUAUCUCCUGACCCCUCCUGUCUCAGCCUCCAGUAUUUAUGCUGCAGUAGUUUAUGUGUCG
This is a long non-coding RNA of Oncorhynchus tshawytscha (Chinook salmon), 2857 nucleotides long. The record is from Ensembl. NCBI's taxonomy places the organism in Eukaryota, Metazoa, Chordata, Actinopteri, Salmoniformes, Salmonidae.